UAUGCUAGUCUGACUGUUUUUCUGCAGCCUACAUGCUGUGCACAUUUUUUGUCUAACAUAAUGUGGAACUAGUCAAAGUGAAGGCUGUUAGUUUUUAGUAAUUUUAAUUUAAAAGAUUUACCAUCGACCCGCCACAUGAAGUGACUUUUCUACACAGUUUUUUUUUUUUUUUAAAUCCUAAAUAUCUACCUUGUUGCUCACUGCCCUCUCCCAUUCAUGACCCAGCUUAGCUGUAGCAUACAGCUCCUUACUGUGUCCACACCCCUCUUGCAGGCUCUAAUCACAGGCUAAUUUUAAGUUAAGAUAUAAAUCUUACAGGCUACUAUAAGGGCCACUCUGUGUUGCCUUAGGUCUGCUGUGUAACUGAGGGAGGCAAUUUAUUCUCUGUCUUCAUCUGGCUGUGGCCUCUACAUUGCUAUGUAGAGGUGACUUUGUUUGAGAUGGAACUGAAGGCCUGUUUGUCCUGUCCUUGACUCCAACCCUGGUAACCUAAAGCUCAAAUUAACCCAAAGAAGCAGGUGAAGGGGAGAUGGAGCUCAGUGGUUUCCUGUUGUGGCAACAAUGCACUUGUAGUGAGGACUAAAAAUGUGUGCACGUGAAUAGUGCUUGGUGUUGUGCAGUCAACAGUGAGAUUUAUUUUACAUUUCUGUUAUAGUAUAUCAAACACCUCUGUGCCAGCACUGGGGUUAGUGACACAGCCAUGAUUCUCGUGUCUGAUUAUUGUCAACCCAAUACUGUUGGGAUGUAGAAUCAUCUGGUAGCAGCUGCAGCAAAAAUGGGUAAUGGGGCAUAGCCGGACACUUCACCUGCAACCUCUUCAUCCAAUCUUGCUGUCAUCUCAUUCUGUGAUCUAACGCCAUGUCAUGCUUUUGCAUUUGACAAAGGCUAAACAACUGAUUAAUGCACACUUUUCCGUUGUACUUGCUGGCCUUCAGCCAAAACAUACAAAAUAUGGAAAGUGGGCAUUGUGGGAAAUAUAUUCCAACCAGAAUACUUCAGUAAAUGAUGUUUGUCCAUUAGAAAAGUUCUUGGUAAGUUUAAAGAUUGGUACUUAACAGAGUUAACUUUCACUGUGAAACUCUACUGUACUCUUCCUGUUGUAGAAAUGUUUUUUUUUUUUUUUUUUUUUUUACAAAAAGCUACUUAAAAAAAUGUAUGGGUGUCCAAAAGACAAAGCUGCAAAAGUUGUAAUGCUAACCGCUAGCUUACUUGCUGAAAAUGUGGACCACAAACCAAAUGUAAAUUCCCGGACUAAAAGACUUUUUUUUUUUUUCAUUUUCCCUUUGUAAAACAUUCUUGGUUGCACUGAAGGCAGGUCAAGCCAAAGAUGAACAUUAUUUUUUGGCCCUUCUCGACUGCUUUGAUCUCAAGUUGCAUUUAUUAUAUAUAUUAUAUGUAUAUAUAUUUAUGCAACACAUAUUCCCACUCUGUACAUUGAAUUAGGUAUAGAUUAGAGGUUUAGAUUUUUGACAAACAAACAACUUUUAAGCUAAAAGCCUCAUGCCUAUGUCGAAAUAAUCAGAAAUACCUACCGGUUUUGAUACUUGCGAACAACACUGCAUAUGUUUUAGCUCAAGAUGGUAAGAUGAGAGUGUUAUAAAGAACCAGUGGUCCUGAAAUAUUUCAACAUUAGUCGUUGCGUGCAGUUUUGGUGGAGUUUUAUUCUCCACCCGGCUAGAGACUCUGUGAAUGCAUGGGUGUCACGUCAUGUUAGUAUUUUAGUGUAUGGACAGACCCACACUGAGAGUUCAAGGGAGGGGAUGUAGAGGUGACCGUGAGGGGUGAUGCAAGUGACUCCAGUGAACAAAUGCCCUUCUGCCCCGUCCCAAUGCCUGACCACACAACACUCUAGGCCCUUCUUCUCAGGCAGGUCGUGACAAGGAGAGUCCCAGGACCCUCUCAACCCAUUUUUCCCCAUGGGAAAUAUCAAAUGUUAAGUGUAGCACAUGUUUGCCAUAUAUCCCUUAGAUUUAGUAGGAAAGUUAAAAACUUUGAAUGAAUGAUGGAAUGAUGUUAUGGGAGCCUAGAUGAAAAAAAUAUAUAUUUUAUUCUUCUGUGGUGCAUCAUCCGUUUAGAAUGCAUACAGUUGCACAUACACCAUCUUCACACAUGACCUACCAUAUGCACCAUGCACACGCACCCACCCACCAGCCUACUCAAAAUUCAGGGAUGUGAAUGGGCCACAUUUAUGCACAACCUCCCUCAAAACAAACACACACGCACACUGACACACAGGGGAAAGCAAUUUUUAAGUUGUCAUUCGUUGUUAGAAAAGAAAAACAAUGCCAUAAAUGUAUGUAUUUUAACCCUAUAUUGUCAUUAUUAUGACACUAUUUAGCUGCACUAUUGUUGAUUAUGGCAGGAAACUGCUGGGUCUGUCCUGCAGACUAUGUUACUAACUGUCCCUUUAAAACCCCUGGAUUUUUAACAAUAUUAACCUGGAACAUCACAAAUUUUCAGCUCUAUGACGACAAACCAACAAAAAAAGGUAUUGGCAUCUUUUUCCAUGUUCCAAUAUAUAUUUUACCAAGCAGGGUUUAAGUGCUAUGUGCAAACAAAAGAUGAAUGAAAGAAAUUAUUUUUCAUUAUUAACUUCUCCCUAAUAUGCAAUGGAGUGUAGUGUAACAAUGGUUGUAUUCCUCUGUCACUUUAAUGCUGUAUGUGCACAUUGGUUGCUGUGUGGAUGUGGGUGCCGAGGCAACGGGACUUGACAAUGAUGGGAACUAAUGGUUGUCACUCUGUGUUCCCAGACUGCCUUAUUCGUCCUGGCCAAUCACAGUAGCCCUCCUUCCAGCCAGGGCUGCGGCCGCCGACAGCGGCUGUGGUCAGACGAGUAUUGCUGCUCCAUUAUCUCCUUCUGCUUUCCCUUGCAUUUUUUUUCCUUUCAUCUUUCCCUUUUUCUUUUCUUUAGCCGCGAGGUAGAAUUUGGAGCGUGUAAAUGGCAAGUUAAUGUUCACAUCUGUAUGUUCUGUAUAUCUGCUUCACCAUUCAGACAAAAACAGUUGUUUUGCAGUAAACCCUUUUCGUUUUGAAGAGCCGUAUGGUGCGACACUUGUAGCUGUCACUCUUGGUGCUUGGCUUAUGCUUCAUUGUCUUAAUAUUCCAAAUAAAACUGUUAAGUGUAAUCCACACUGGCCCAUGAUAAAAUAUUGCGUGUGUCUAUUUUUCAUCCUAUGUCUUCCAGACACAAUCUUCUUGUGGCAAUCUUUUGCUAUUGUUCCAGAAACUCUUUCUACAAUGGUGUUGAUUACAUCACGACUGGAGCCUUUCAGUAAAUUUUACUAAGUUUUCCCUCAGGAUUGUGUUUUGUAAACAAAGGAUGUUAGAUUGAAAUGUAGAUAAAUCACCAAAGCAUCCAUAAACUUGCAUAGGUUUCAUAUUUGCACGUUUGUGACCUGUGACCUUUAAAGCCUGACAUGGUAGACUAGGGAAGGUGUAGUUCAUAAGUUAUAUUUGGAAUUUUACAGGCUCAGUCUCACAAGUCUAGGUGGCAAAUAUCUGUCGGCACUACUGGAAAAAAAAUGUGGUAAAUUGUGAACAUUAAAACAACUUAUAACAUAUUAACUAAACUUAUAAUAAUUCAAAGAAACUACACAUUAUUAGAUAAACUAUAUUAUUGAUAUUUAUCUGAAUACCUAAUAAUACUGUUACUUUUAAAUUAAAAUACAUAACAUAGUCCAUUAAUUAGUGCAAGAUGACAUCCUCAGUUUACGACUGGUGAACUGUCUGCUGGGUAACAUUACUGACUGCUGGGGUAGAGCUGCUCAAUGUUCUGUCUUAAAUAUCCCAGGUAUCAUCAAAUAUUCUUUAUUGAUGUCAAGAGGGACUUGAUGUUAUUCUGCAUACAUUUGCUCAAUAUUUUACACAGAGAGAAUCAAUUGUAUUGAUAAAGAAUACAAUUGAAGUGGAAUAGAUAUUGAAGUUGCACUUCUGCUGGGUUAAUUCUGAAUGCUGACAUUCUUAAGUGGGACUAUCAGCUACCUUCAUUUUUGUGUGUGUGUGUGUGUGUGAUUCUGGUUUCUCUUUUUGCAGGCUACGUUCAUCUGCACCAUAGAACUGGGGCGACCCCGCACGGCCUGGGGUCAUUGGCAUUUUGACAACAAGUGGUUCUACUCCUCUGGUCUUCACCUGCCACCAGUGGUUGCUGCCUCACACUACAGGACGAGAUGUUGGCUAAAUGGCAGAACCGUGUCAGCAAGGUGGUGAGCAGCCAUUACUGCAUCAGUAUCCUGAGAUUUGAACCAGAUUUGAAAUUCAAACUUUCCAUAUCGAGCCACUAGCUGUGAACUGGACUGCACUCUGCACUGUAUUAGCAGCAGGUAGAGUAUGUAGGUCUGGGGGUCGUGCAUAUUAGUGCUGAACCUGGUUGAGUUAGUGCAUGAGCGUGUGAGCUAUAAUAUGGCCUACACGUGUGUUAAGUUGGGAGGCAUGCAUGUCUACAUGGGUGUAAGAAUGUGUGUGUGGCGUUACCAGUAUAUGAGGCUGCUGAAAAACAGGCGUCCACUCAGCUAGGUGACUGCAGUGUGCCAGGGGGUCAGGGCAGGCUUAGCACCAAUGACCAUUAUAUAACCUAGUGUCACAGAGGCAUGCAGGGAAGGCAGCAGGCAGGACAUUCAGACCAGUGGCCAUCACCAUGGUCACCACUGCCCUGAAGUUGGUCCAGCCUGGACAAAAAGAAAAGACAGAAGUGUUUGACAAUUAAUGGAAAUAGAUUUUGGGAAGAUUAAUCAGAAUAGAUUACAUCACGUUUUUCAUUCCUGUGCACCCCCUAGUGGCCUAGUAUUUACAGUUAGAUGAUAUUCUCUAUGAUCAUAGAUUACAAAAUAUAUAUAUUUUAAUAUAUAUGAAUCACAAAGAAUUUUAGGAAAGAUGUUAGGAGCUCAAAUUCAUAAAUUCAUUGUGAUGGUCCUCAGCUGACCAUUUAUGUUAAAAAAAAACAUGUUUGUGCUCCGUACAUUUGCAUCUCAAAUCAAGGCUCAACUUCAUCAAAACAAACCCAUGUUUUUCUUUCUUGGAAUGAAAUACACUUGAUUCCAUUCCAAAAAACCAACAGCUCAGGGACACAGGGUGUUUGAGUCCGGUGAGAUCUGAGUCAGUUGUGGAAGUCUGAAGCAGAACUGGCACAAAAGUCAAGCUGUGGAAUUAUUCUGCUCUGUUAUAACAAUAACAACUUCAUUAUUAUCCUGUUUUUCAUUUUUGAUACAAAACUGCCACUGUACUGGGUUGCCGUCCCUUUUAAGUACGCUAACUUUGUUCAACUUUCAAAGUUGACCAAUGUCGGUAUCAUGUGUUGUAAAUGAAUCAAAAUGAGGACGGACGUGUAGAAAGAACAUAAUUAUGCCUUCGAUGCCAGUUCUCGUUCUUUCCUUGGGGCAGUGGAUGAGGUAGGGUGGCAGGGUUUGGCAGGGACUGAGUUGCCUGAGAUAAAAGACUGUCGGUAGGAGAAAGAAGACACCACCAGGGGAGUCUGGAGUAAAAGGAGGCAUCCAGACAACAGCUCUGCAAAUCCACAGUCCUGCACUGCCAAACAGCUGAAUCUUAAAGCCUAUUCACAGGGCAAGCUGCCACAUACCACUGUUAUCGCAAUCAUUUAACAAUACACGCCACAUUUUUUAUAAAUCUAGAACAGAAACGGCAAAAUACAGUGUUUUAGAUCUCAGUCCUGAGUGUGUAAUCUCAGCUUCAGUGUUGCAUAAGACAAAUCGUGACUUUCAGUUUUUAAUUUGCGUGCGCAUUAA
Cynoglossus semilaevis (tongue sole) is the source of this 5738-nucleotide long non-coding RNA. RefSeq lists it as uncharacterized. The record is from RefSeq and is a predicted model, not a curated record. The transcript has 3 exons. Lineage: Eukaryota; Metazoa; Chordata; Actinopteri; Pleuronectiformes; Cynoglossidae.